CCUACGGGAGGCAGCAGUGGGGGAUAUUGCACAAUGGGGGGAACCCUGAUGCAGCGACGCCGCGUGGGUGAAGGAGUGCUUCGGCAUGUAAAGACUUAUCGGCAGGGAAGAAGCAAGACGGUACCUGACUAAGAAGCCCCGGCUAACUACGUGCCAGUAGCCGCGGUAAUACGUAGGGGGCGAGCGUUAUCCGGAUUCACUGGGUGUAAAGGGAGCGUAGACGGCCAUGCAAGCCAGGGGGGAAAGCCCGGGGCCCAACCCCGGGACUGCCGUUGGAACUGUGUGGCCAGAGUGCGGGAGGGGCAGGCGGAAUUCCUGGUGUAGCGGUGAAAUGCGUAGAUAGCAGGAGGAACUCCGGCGGCGAAGGCAGCCUGCUGGACCGCGACUGACGUUGAGGCUCGAAAGCGUGGGGAGCGAACAGGAUUAGAUACCCUUGUAGUC
Molecule: ribosomal RNA, 441 nt
Filed under: uncultured bacterium
Lineage: Bacteria
Description: partial 16S ribosomal RNA
Rfam family: Bacterial small subunit ribosomal RNA
Source: RNAcentral